UGCAGUCGAGCGGUAAGGCCCUUCGGGGUACACGAGCGGCGAACGGGUGAGUAACACGUGGGUGAUCUGCCUCGCACUCUGGGAUAAGCCUGGGAAACUGGGUCUAAUACCGGAUAUGACCUUACAUCGCAUGGUGUUUGGUGGAAAGAUUUAUCGGUGCGAGAUGGGCCCGCGGCCUAUCAGCUUGUUGGUGGGGUAAUGGCCUACCAAGGCGACGACGGGUAGCCGGCCUGAGAGGGCGACCGGCCACACUGGGACUGAGACACGGCCCAGACUCCUACGGGAGGCAGCAGUGGGGAAUAUUGCACAAUGGGCGAAAGCCUGAUGCAGCGACGCCGCGUGAGGGAUGACGGCCUUCGGGUUGUAAACCUCUUUCGACAGGGACGAAGCGCAAGUGACGGUACCUGUAGAAGAAGCACCGGCCAACUACGUGCCAGCAGCCGCGGUAAUACGUAGGGUGCGAGCGUUGUCCGGAAUUACUGGGCGUAAAGAGCUUGUAGGCGGCUUGUCGCGUCGAUCGUGAAAACUUGGGGCUCAACCCCAAGCUUGCGGUCGAUACGGGCAGGCUUGAGUACUUCAGGGGAGACUGGAAUUCCUGGUGUAGCGGUGAAAUGCGCAGAUAUCAGGAGGAACACCGGUGGCGAAGGCGGGUCUCUGGGAAGUAACUGACGCUGAGAAGCGAAAGCGUGGGUAGCGAACAGGAUUAGAUACCCUGGUAGUCCACGCCGUAAACGGUGGGUACUAGGUGUGGGUUUCCUUCCACGGGAUCCGUGCCGUAGCUAACGCAUUAAGUACCCCGCCUGGGGAGUACGG
RNAcentral lists this ribosomal RNA (813 nucleotides) under Nocardia cyriacigeorgica. RNAcentral describes it as "bacterial SSU rRNA". It matches the Rfam family "Bacterial small subunit ribosomal RNA", at positions 56 to 885 of the family's 1533-position model. Lineage: Bacteria; Bacillati; Actinomycetota; Actinomycetes; Mycobacteriales; Nocardiaceae. The record is from RNAcentral.